AUACGGAGGGUGCAAGCGUUAUCCGGAUUCACUGGGUUUAAAGGGUGUGUAGGCGGGCUAUUAAGUCAGUGGUGAAAUCUCCGGGCUCAACCCGGAAACUGCCAUUGAUACUAUUAGUCUUGAAUAUCGUUGAGGUUGGCGGAAUAUAUCAUGUAGCGGUGAAAUGCAUAGAUAUGAUAUAGAACACCGAUUGCGAAGGCAGCUAACUAAACGAUGAUUGACGCUGAGGCACG
Molecule: ribosomal RNA, 233 nt
Filed under: uncultured bacterium
Lineage: Bacteria
Description: partial 16S ribosomal RNA
Rfam family: Bacterial small subunit ribosomal RNA
Source: RNAcentral